RNAcentral lists this ribosomal RNA (362 nucleotides) under uncultured bacterium. RNAcentral describes it as "bacterial SSU rRNA". It matches the Rfam family "Bacterial small subunit ribosomal RNA", at positions 69 to 422 of the family's 1533-position model. The record is from RNAcentral.
GGAUGAGAAGCUUGCUUCUCUGAUGUUAGCGGCGGAUGGGUGAGUAACACGUGGGCAACCUGCCCUGCAGAUGGGGAUAACUCCGGGAAACCGGGGCUAAUACCGAAUAAUCAGUUGGUUCGCAUGAACCAACUCUGAAAGACGGUUUCGGCUGUCACUGCAGGAUGGGCCCGCGGCGCAUUAGCUAGUUGGUGGGGUAAUGGCCUACCAAGGCGACGAUGCGUAGCCGACCUGAGAGGGUGAUCGGCCACACUGGGACUGAGACACGGCCCAGACUCCUACGGGAGGCAGCAGUAGGGAAUCUUCCACAAUGGACGAAAGUCUGAUGGAGCAAUGCCGCGUGAGCGAAGAAGGUUUUCGGA